UUCUGUUAGACUCAAAUAAUAAUAAUCUUUCUAAAACACACAAAGUAGCUGUCACAUAAUGAGGUCAGCUGUGAGUUUGCUCAUUUCAGAACUCUUCUAAAAUAAGAAAUCCACUUAAAAUAGCUUUAUACUUUCCAAAGCAUAUAAUAUUUCAACAAUAUUUGAAAGAACUCAAUGAAUGAACAAAUAAUAUUAAAUCUUGAACAUUUUUGAAUUUAUAGUUCAGAGUAAUAUAGUAAAUAUUUCAAGAAUUAUUUUUUAAAUCCAAAUUUUAAUGAUGUUUUCAUUAUAAUUUUCUACUCAUUUGGCUUAAUUUCCCUGCAAGCCUGAGAGGAACUGAUUCUGAGAUGCUGUAUUCAUAAUCCCACACAUUCUUAAAUCAUUCUUUAAUGAUAUAAGGAGACAUGUAUUUGUUCACAUUUCUCCAGACAAAGAAAAUGGAAAUAAGGAUUGCCAUAUCAGGGUGGAGGAUUAUAAUAAGCCAUUUUCCAAAAAUUUUUCCAUUUGGGUAAGGGCUUUAAAUUGUAUAUUUUAUCAAUGCUAUUAACAUAUUGUCUUAAUAUUUUACAGAGUCUUUUUAAAUGUUAACUUACUGUGAGUCUUAUAACCACUCUAUGACAUAUGCAGGACAGAAAUUCUCAUCAUCUCCUUGCCCCCACUGCAUCCUAUUUUGAAAAAGAAAAGCCCGAAAUUUAGAAAAAGUUGGGUUCUCUAGAAGAGAUGCUGAGACAGACUAUUGGGAUGUAAGAUGUUUAGUAGGGAUCACACCUACAAAGAUAAAUGGGAGGAAGUAAGAUUAGAUAGAAAAAAACUGCAAUGCAAACCCAACAAAAGCUUAUCCAACCUAGCAGGGAGCUAGAGUAUACAUUGCCUAUGAGAGUGUCCUGUGUUGGCCUGAAAUGGCCGGGUCCAUUUCAAGGCAUAAACUAAAUGUCAUUCUGUCCCUCCAAGAGUGUGGCCUUAACCAGAUAGCUCUCAGCAGCUGAGUUGGAUCCUGAAGGGCUGAUGUUGGAGGCUGUCUGUGGAUCCCACUCUCUACAGGUAGUAGCCAGUCCUUCUUGAAGCGGGUUUUGGAGGGCACAUCUCCAGGUCUAUUACACAUAUCAACACAAGUUCUCUGUGAUUCCCUUGGUCUUUCUCUUAUGUUCAAGCAAUGACUCAUGAAGUUUCAAGUAUUACAUGCCAUUCAAAGCACAGAGGGACAGAAGGAGUAGUAGGGUUGUUUCAUUCUGUUCAGGCUGCUGUAACAUACACUGGGUGGCUUAUGAACAACAAAUAUGUAUUGCUCACAAUUCUGGAGGGUGGAAAGUCCAAGAUGAAGGUGGCUGCAGAUUCAGUGUCUGGUGAGGACCUGUUUCCUCAUAUCACCUUCUCUCUGUGUCCCAUAUGAAGAAAGGAGCAAGCUAACUCUGGGGUCUUUUUUAUCCAGGCACUAAUCCCAUUCAUAAGAGCAGAGCCUCAUGACAGAAUCAUCUCCCAAAGGCCCCACCUUCUAACGCCAUCACCUUAAGGGGUAGGAUUUCAACAUGUGAAUUGGUGAGGGGUGACACAGACGUUCAGACCCUAGCAAAUGUCUAGCCCCUUUAUCAGGAAAUUGAAAGCUUUCCUGGAAACCAUUGAGUCGAUUUUGCUUAUGUCUCACCAGAAAGUUAUCACGUGAUUAAUCAAGCUACAGGUAACUAGUUAGUAUCUCUAGUCUCUACAGUAGGAAAAUAAAAGGAAAAGGGGAUUGGGAAUAGAUGUGGUUUUUCAACCAUGAAGGCCUUUGCCACUCACUUUACUAAUCACCUAAAAUGUCUGCCAGUUACUUUGUCAGAUGCUAAACUGUCAAAUUCCACAAAAAUGUUGCCAAAUCAGUAUUAGUAUUUCUAAUUCUAAAAGCCUUGAAACUAAAUCCUUGCUUUUCCUUAUACUUUAUUGACAUUUUUCCUCAGUCAUCAUAUGACACCCAGAAUUAAGAGUCUUAGGCUUUCAAGAAUUCACCGAAGCAGCAGAAAUGGGUAGUUUAUGGCAACAUAAAUGGAGUUCAAUUUAAGAGUAGGCGUACACUUUUAUUGGAAAAAGAUGGCAUUUACCGAGUUAUUUUUAUUUUUCCUUUGAGGUUAAAAUAAGUUUUUUUCUCUAUCUUGGGAAUAUAUAGUCAGGCAACUCACAAAUGUGACAUGAACUGAAGGAUACAGGGGCUAUAAUUCGCAUCAAAGCGAAACCAACAGGACUUCUGUCAUCUCCUCUUCAAAGCAAUAUUAUCCUAAGGGAUGUGAUAUUUCACUGUAAACCAAGAAAUUCAUGCUCAAACAUGCAGCUGCUAGCUCAAAAUUUAACAUAAAAAGCUUUAAAAGGAAGAAAAAGAGAGAAAGCAGGUGAGAAGGAAGCCAAACCAACUCUCCAAGAAUUUGCUUGCUCUUAAGUAGCAUCCUUAGCCCAUCAUUGUCUCAGACACUGUGCUAAUAAAUAAAAAUGAAGAUAAGUAAUGGCCUAAUGAAUCACAGUAAUACAUGUUAUUAAAUCAAUAGGUCAGAACUGAAAAUAAGACCUAUGCUUUCACAAUUGCUGAAGUGAAUAAGAAGGAGGAGGAAUCCAAUUAUCCUAUAUCUGUAGAUUGUAUGCCUAAAAUGUAGAUACUACUAUUUGAACUCACUUUCCUGUGAAUUUAUUUUCAGGAUCAGUAAAUUUGGCUUAGGACUUGAAAAAAGUUAAAAGAAAAUGUGAAAAUUAUAUAAAGCAGCAGGAUAAUAUCAGAGUUGUAAUUUAAUAUUAAAAUUUUAAGAAGAAGUGAUUACAUUUUAAUGGCAAUGUAUGUCUUUUCAUAAUAAACCAAAUGGUUGUUUAUGAUAAGAUUUCAGAAAUUGUUAGAAAAAUAAACAUUUUGGUGCACUGGGCAAAGUAUACUGUCUUCAUAGUAAUAUUGUAAAAUGUCUCUGCAUUUCUCUAACAACCAGAGUAAACAAAUCAAUCAGUACUUUUGAAUAAAGUGGCUCGUAGAAAGUAAAAUAAGCCAU
Molecule: long non-coding RNA, 2999 nt
Filed under: Homo sapiens (human)
Lineage: Eukaryota; Metazoa; Chordata; Mammalia; Primates; Hominidae
Description: HSALNT0075226
Source: RNAcentral